GAAGCAGCCACCCUUUAAAGAAAGCGUAAUAGCUCACUAGUCGAGUCGGCCUGCGCGGAAGAUGUAACGGGGCUAAAACUAUGUGCCGAAGCUGCGGAUUUGACAUUAGUCAAGUGGUAGGGGAGCGUUCUGUAAGCCGAUGAAGGUGUAUUGAGAAGUAUGCUGGAGGUAUCAGAAGUGCGAAUGCUGACGUGAGUAACGACAAAACGGGUGAAAAACCCGUUCGCCGAAAGACCAAGGGUUCCAGUCCAACGUUAANNNNNNNNNNNNNNNNNNUCGGGGCUGGGUGAGUCGACCCCUAAGGCGAGGCCGAAAGGCGUAGUCGAUGGGAAAAUGGUUAAUAUUCCAUUACUUCUGUGUAAUGCGAUGAGAGGACGGAGAAGGCUAAAUCAGCCUGGCGUUGGUUGUCCAGGUGAAAGGAUGUAGGCAUGUAUCUUAGGCAAAUCCGGGGUACUCUAUGCUGAGAUCUGAUAGCAAGCUGUACUUGUACAGCGAAGUGGUUGAUGCCAUGCUUCCAGGAAAAGUCUCUAAGCUUCAGUUACACAGGAAUCGUACCCGAAACCGACACAGGUGGUCAGGUCGAGUAGACCAAGGCGCUUGAGAGAACUCUGCUGAAGGAACUAGGCAAAAUGGUACCGUAACUUCGGGAGAAGGUACGCUGUUGUUGGUGAUGGAACUCGCUUCCUGAGCUGACGACAGCCGCAGAAACCAGGCCGCUGCAACUGUUUAUUAAAAACAUAGCACUCUGCAAACACGAAAGUGGACGUAUAGGGUGUGAUGCCUGCCCGGUGCUGGAAGGUUAAUUGAUGGGGUUAGCGUAAGCGAAGCUCUUGAUCGAAGCCCCAGUAAACGGCGGCCGUAACUAUAACGGUCCUAAGGUAGCGAAAUUCCUUGUCGGGUAAGUUCCGACCUGCACGAAUGGCAUAAUGAUGGCGGCGCUGUCUCCAGCAGAGGCUCAGUGAAAUCGAAAUCGCUGUGAAGAUGCAGUGUACCCGCGGCUAGACGGAAAGACCCCGUGAACCUUUACUGCAGCUUGACACUGAACUUUGACCUUACUUGUGUAGGAUAGGUGGGAGGCUUUGAAGCUGGAACGCUAGUUCCAGUGGAGCCGUCCUUGAAAUACCACCCUGGUAAUGUUGAGGUUCUAACUCUGUCCCGUGAUCCGGGACGAGGACCGUGUCUGGUGGGUAGUUUGACUGGGGCGGUCUCCUCCUAAAGAGUAACGGAGGAGUACGAAGGUGCGCUCAGCGUGGUCGGAAAUCACGCGUAGAGUAUAAAGGCAAAAGCGCGCUUAACUGCGAGACCCACAAGUCGAGCAGGUACGAAAGUAGGUCUUAGUGAUCCGGUGGUUCUGUAUGGAAGGGCCAUCGCUCAACGGAUAAAAGGUACUCUGGGGAUAACAGGCUGAUACCGCCCAAGAGUUCAUAUCGACGGCGGUGUUUGGCACCUCGAUGUCGGCUCAUCUCAUCCUGGGGCUGAAGCAGGUCCCAAGGGUAUGGCUGUUCGCCAUUUAAAGAGGUACGCGAGCUGGGUUUAGAACGUCGUGAGACAGUUCGGUCCCUAUCUACCGUGGGCGCUGGAAAUUUGAGAGGAUCUGCUCCUAGUACGAGAGGACCAGAGUGGACGAACCUCUGGUGUACCGGUUGUGACGCCAGUCGCAUCGCCGGGUAGCUAUGUUCGGAAGGGAUAACCGCUGAAAGCAUCUAAGCGGGAAGCCUACCUCAAGAUAAGAUUUCCCUAGGACUUUAUGUCCUCUAAAGAGCCGUUCGAGACUAGGACGUUGAUAGGUUGGAUGUGGAAGCAUAGUGAUAUGUGAAGCUGACCAAUACUAAUUGCUCGUGAGGCUUGACUAUACAACACCCAAGCAGUUG
RNAcentral lists this ribosomal RNA (1871 nucleotides) under Acinetobacter baumannii. Its description in RNAcentral is "bacterial LSU rRNA". It matches the Rfam family "Bacterial large subunit ribosomal RNA", at positions 1109 to 2925 of the family's 2925-position model. Lineage: Bacteria; Pseudomonadati; Pseudomonadota; Gammaproteobacteria; Moraxellales; Moraxellaceae. The record is from RNAcentral.